RNAcentral lists this long non-coding RNA (2642 nucleotides) under Homo sapiens (human). Lineage: Eukaryota; Metazoa; Chordata; Mammalia; Primates; Hominidae. The record is from RNAcentral.
UCCAGCCACCGCCCUGCUGAAAACCUUCCAUGGCUCCCUGGUGCCUAAAGUGUACUUCUCAAGCUGUAUUGUGUCUUGGAUUUGCCUGUAGCUCUAAAAGAUCAGCCCCUCCCAAGUUGCAGCUCAGAGCCAGUCAUCAGAUCCCUAUGACGGAACCCAAGGACCUGAAUCUUUAACUCACUCCGCAGAGAUGGAGUCUUGGUAUGUUGGCCAGGCUGGUCUCAAAUUCCUGGGCUCAAGUGAUCCUCCCGCCUCAGCCUCCCGGAUUGCUGAGACUGCAGGCCUCUUUCGGGUGGUCAUUCUGGCUGGCUGCAGGAGCCUCUUGGAAGAUGCAAAUGGAUGAAACAACAGAAAACUGUGCUGCAAAAGGCCGAUGCUCUGUGUAUGGCCUCUCAAAAGAUGUGAAACUAGGGGGAAAAACAAUACCGUUCUUACCCUUUUCCUGGGCACCGCAGAGCCCUGUGAUUCUGCUCACACCUGCAAUCACCACCGCCUGAUGUUCCGCUCUCAGAUGCCCCAGGGACUAUCCAGCCUGCAAGCCCAGGGCCUGUGUCCUGAGUCAGUAAUCAGCUUCCCCUCUGGAUUCACCUCUGAAUUCCAAAAUGGGUUGUCUGGGAACUUCAUCAACUUCAUGACUUCCAUGUUCAAUGGGAAAGUCAGCCUGCCUGGCCAAAGCAACAGUGAAAUAUGGGUUAACGUUACAACAAUGUAAUGCUGAUUUAGAUGUCAGUUUAAUAGAUGAUGGGUGGUAUUAGAAAGCACCUUCAGCCGGGCACGGUGGCUCGCGCCUGUAAUCCCAGCACUUUGGGAGGCCGAGGCGGGCAGAUUGCCUGAGGUCAGGAGUUCAAGACCAUCCUGGCUAAUAUGGUGAAACUCUGUCUCUACUAAAAAUACAAAAAUUAGCCGGGCGUGGUGGCUGGUGCCUGUAGUCCCAGGUACUUGGGAGGCUGAGGCAGGAGAAUUACUGGAACCCAGGAGGCAGAGGUUGCAGGGAGCUGAGAUCACGCCACUGCACUCCAGCCUGGGCAAGAGGGCAAGACUGUCUCCAAGAAAAGCAAAAGAAAAAGGAAAAAAAAAAAAGAAAAGAAAGCGCCUUCAAGGCCAUCUGUUUCUCUGCUACUACCCUUUUUGGAAAGACAAAUCUCCUUCCCCUCCCUGUCCUCCUUCCUUCUACAUUCCCCUAGGGCUGUGUACCUCUCUCUCAGCGUGCCCUGCCUUGGUGCCUCUGUGGCAGGGCCAGGUCUGACUUCCCAGAUGAGCUUGCUCUCCUAAGCUGCAUCAUUGCAUGACUCUCCUCUUUCCUAACCUCCCUCACUCCUCCAGCUCCCUUCUGCUGGUGAAUGACAUCUCUUCACGCCACACAGUCACAGGACGGCUGCUCCACCACCGGCAUCACAUCUCCUUUCCAGGCAGGAAGAAGAGGAAGGAGGAAGAGACAGGACAAAGGUGGUCUUUCUUCCAGUAAAGCUUUGACUUUUUAUCUAGAAAACAUUAUCUCUGAGCUUUUCACCUACAUUUCCUUGGCCAGACCUGGGUCACGUGGUCACCUCUAAUUGAGAAGAUGAGUAUUUCAGAGGGACACAUUUUUGUUCCCUCCCAAAUCAGGGCUGUGUUAGGAAGAAAGCGGGAAUGGGUCCUGGGAAGGCAGCUCGCAGUAACUCCACACAGUCUGUCCCUUUGCUAUCCAGCACUCACGCAGCCCUUCCCUCAGACACAGAAAACAUCAGUGUCUCCCAAGGCAAACAGCCAGAAUCCCAUCUUGCUACUUCCAGGGCAGGCUUCUUUGUAAGGUGCAGGUGGGGCGCCCUGUGGUCCUGUGACCUUGAAACUCAAAGACAAGUUAUCUGCCCCGACAUACUCAGGAUCAGUGGUUGGUUAGAAACAGGAAAAGUGCAGUACAGCUUCCAUCCAGCAACACGGAAAGGGAUGCACACAGCAGUCGCUGGAGCAGGAAGUCCUGCUGAGUGAGGACGCCUGGCUUCCUGGGUACCAUCUAGCACCCUGCUCUGCUCUCAGGAAGAUGUGCCAGAGCCAUUGCCUUCUGCAGACUCAGCUCUGCCCUAUUCUCCUUAUUCAUUAUUCUCCAUGGGGUGGGUCUUGAGGGGAUACGCCAUUUCUGGGGGCCACACGGCUUCCUGUUGGUGUGAGUCUGGAGUCCUGGGGGUGGCUUCAAGUAUUGGCUGUUACUCACCAACCUUGCAUUCUUUUGGAGAAUACAUUUACUCAAAAACUUGGUUGGCUUCCAGUCUUCUAAUUUUAUUUAUUUAUUUUUGUGGUCAGUUCCGAUAGCGGCCUCUAUUUGGUGGUUGGAGGUCAACUUGUGACCCCUGCUGCCCUCUGGAGUCUCAUUUUCAAAUGAUGUCUCCUGAGGUUGAAUCUGAUUGGUGGAGUGAGGUCACAUGCCUGUGCCCUGGCUGCAAAGGAGGCUGGGAGGGAAGUUUUCUCUGUUCUACUUCAGGGACAUGGGACUCUCAAGAUGGGAAAUGCCCCCAAACAGAGCCAGUAUAUUCUACAGAUAUGAGGCAGCCAGAAAACAGGAGGGGAACCGGGCGUGGUGGCUCAUGCCUCUAAUCCCAGCACUUUGGGAGGCUGAGGUGCGCAGAUCACUUGAGCCCAGGAGUUUGGGACCAGCCUGGGCAACA